GUCGAGAAUAUUUCGCAAUGGGCGAAAGCCUGACGAAGCGACGCCGCGUGAACGAUGAAGGCCUUCGGGUUGUAAAGUUCUGUCGCCUUAGAACAAGAAGCGCUGGAUAACACCCAGCGACGAUGAGGGUAUAAGGAGAGGAAGCACCGGCUAAUUCCGUGCCAGCAGCUGCGGUAAUACGGAAGGUGCAAGCGUUAGUCGGAAUUAUUGGGCGUAAAGGGUGCGUAGGCGGAAAAGCAAGUAGGACGUGAAAUUCUGGGGCUCAACCUCAGAGCUGCAUCCGAAACUGCUUUUCUAGAGGAUUGGCGGAGAAAACGGAAUUCCAUGUGUAGCGGUGAAAUGCGUAGAUAUAUGGAAGAACACCUGUGGCGAAAGCGGUUUUCUAGCCUCCUCCUGACGCUGAGGCACGAGAGCAAGGGGAGCAAACAGGAUUAGAAACCCCGGUAGUCC
RNAcentral lists this ribosomal RNA (450 nucleotides) under uncultured bacterium. RNAcentral's name for it is "partial 16S ribosomal RNA". It matches the Rfam family "Bacterial small subunit ribosomal RNA", at positions 354 to 796 of the family's 1533-position model. The record is from RNAcentral.